GAAACUGUAGCUCAAUGGAAGAGUACUUCAGCAGCAUUGAAGAGGUUGGAGGUUCAAAUCCUCCCAGUUUCC
RNAcentral lists this transfer RNA (72 nucleotides) under Symploca sp. SIO2G7. Its description in RNAcentral is "tRNA-Ala". It matches the Rfam family "tRNA". Rfam says of the family: Transfer RNA (tRNA) molecules are approximately 80 nucleotides in length. The record is from RNAcentral. Lineage: Bacteria; Bacillati; Cyanobacteriota; Cyanophyceae; Coleofasciculales; Coleofasciculaceae.